UAAUAACUAUUAAGUUGGUGCAAACAUAAUUGUGGUUGUUGUCAUUACUUUUAAUGGCAAAAACUGUAAUUACUUUUCCACUAAUCUAAUAUUUUAAU
Molecule: microRNA precursor, 98 nt
Organism: Chlorocebus sabaeus (green monkey)
Lineage: Eukaryota; Metazoa; Chordata; Mammalia; Primates; Cercopithecidae
Source: Ensembl